Non-coding RNA from Cinara cedri, 271 nucleotides. The record is from the annotation of a GenBank genome assembly. NCBI's taxonomy places the organism in Eukaryota, Metazoa, Arthropoda, Insecta, Hemiptera, Aphididae.
UGAACUAAGACCCAAAAUUAUUUCUCUUUGAUUUAUGAUUUUUAUGAGUUUUAUGAUGACUAGAAGUUAUACCCAUGUCCAUCAACAAUUUUUGCUCUGUUAUAUUUGUGUCAUGAAAAACAUUGUUUUCAGCAUUGUUAUCUGAACUUAUGAACUCACGAGCACAAGUAUGUACAUGCUUACAAAUAUUUGUUUUAAUAAUAUCAAUGCAAGAGCAAUGAAAACUGAUAAUGAAAACAUUACACUUUUUGCAUUUCAGACCUGACAAAUG